UACGGGGGGGGCAAGCGUUGUUCGGAAUUACUGGGCGUAAAGGGUUCGUAGGUGGCUUGUUAAGUCAGACGUGAAAUCCCUCGGCUCAACCGGGGAACUGCGUCUGAGACUGAUGAGCUCGAGUGCAGGAGAGGAACGCGGAAUUCCAGGUGUAGCGGUGAAAUGCGUAGAUAUCUGGAGGAACACCGGUGGCGAAGGCGGUGGGCUGGGCCGGAACUGACGCUGAGACGCGAAAGCGUGGGGAGCGAACAGG
Molecule: ribosomal RNA, 253 nt
Filed under: uncultured bacterium
Lineage: Bacteria
Description: partial 16S ribosomal RNA
Rfam family: Bacterial small subunit ribosomal RNA
Source: RNAcentral